GAAGGUGCCGAGGUGGGGUGGGGCUGGAGGGGGAGCCGCCGCUCGGAGAAGCACGGACGCGGUGCGGCCGCGCAGACCAUCAGUGACGCCGCGUCCAGUAAGCAUGAAAAGUCUCCCCGUCUCGCCCGUCUCGUCCGUCGCCCCCAUUCCGCCCCUUCCUUCACGGCAUCCACCAGAUAUUGAUCUUUCAAGGAAUCAACUUACUGGAAAUAUCCCCAAAGAAAUAGGAGCUCUGUCUUCACUAAAAGCCUUGAACCUCUCAGGAAACCACAUAGAUGGGAGCAUCCCUGAGGAAAUUGGGAACCUAGGGUCUUUAGAGGACUUGAUCUCUCAUGGAACGCUUUGUCAGGUUCAAUUCCUCUGAGUUUCGGAAACUUGAGUUAUCUGUCGAUCCUAAAUUUGUCCUACGAACGGUCUGUCAGGUAGGAUACCCACACAAGCACACAACUUUCAACUCUCGUGGAGGACUGUUAUUUGGGUAAUGCAGAUCUUUGUGGGCCUCCACUACCUAUAAAAUGUUCUCAGCACAAGAUCAGUCAUCAACACAAGAUUGACAGGGGGACAUACUUAUGUGCGAUGCUAGGGCUUGCGUACGGACUAUCCAUUGUUUCCGUCAUUCUCCUGUUCAGCACAAAUUCAAGAAAGACACACUUUCAGUUCACAGACAGUAAAUUGGAUGAAUUUCGAGCUGUAGUUCAGAUUGAGCUCAAUAGAGCCAAGGCAGGAAGAGACCAAUCCGACGCAAGGCGUGUUUGCAACCAGAACUCAAUCACUUGCUACGAGUUGGAAUUUGGGUCCCCAGCUCCAUGUCACUAAAAGUGCUCCAUGGAGCCUUCAGAUCCGAAGCCUGUGAUGCCCUCUCUGUAACCAAGCCAGGCUAGCCGUCGUCUAAGUAAAAAUGGUACCCGGGGAUGGAGAAGGAUGGGCCAUGUAUAACAAGAUGUCUUCUUUCUUUGUAAACUCUAGUUUUCCUGUGCGAGUAUCAAUGUUCUACUCAUUUUAUGGCCUUACCAAUGAAGAUUGACAUUUUGGAACAA
Panicum hallii is the source of this 1037-nucleotide long non-coding RNA. RefSeq lists it as uncharacterized. The transcript is spliced from 2 exons. Lineage: Eukaryota; Viridiplantae; Streptophyta; Magnoliopsida; Poales; Poaceae. The record is from RefSeq and is a predicted model, not a curated record.